CUGAUACAAUGAUGAUAACAUAGUUCAGCAGAUGUAUGGUGGUGAACAACACUAUUCUGUCUUUCGCUCCUAUCUGAUGUAUCUG
Monodelphis domestica (gray short-tailed opossum) is the source of this 85-nucleotide small nucleolar RNA. The record is from Ensembl. Lineage: Eukaryota; Metazoa; Chordata; Mammalia; Didelphimorphia; Didelphidae.